AAGGGAAGACUCACAUAGAGGCAGCAGUAGAGAAUCUUGUGCAAUAAACGAAAGUAUGACACAGAGAGGACACAUUUAAUUGAGCCCGUCAAAUUAAGUGCCAGCCGACGCGGUUAAACUUAAGGGCUGGUCUUUAUAAGUAAAAAGGCGUAAAGGAUGUGUAGGCCAAGAAACGACCCAAGAAGGUAAAUGGAAUUUUUCUGGAGCGGUAGAAUGUGAGGAUAGAAAAUAGAACCCCUAAGGUUAAAACUAUUUACCACAAGGUAGGCUGAAACAUGAGUGUGUGGGGAGCAAACAGGAUUAGAGACCCUGGUAGUCCACACUGUGAACUUUGAAGAUGAUGCUUAGCAGACCCGAAAGGUAAAAUCUUCCGCCUGAGUAGUACGAUCGCAAGAUUAAAAUUCAAAAACUUUGGCUGUUCACUAUUUCGAUUAGAGGAGCGUGUAGUUUAAUUCGAUGGUCCGCGUGUUACCUUACCCCAACUUGAAUCUGUGACCGGUAUUGCAUGGCCGUCGUAAGUUCGUGUAUUAAGCUAGAAGGGACCCAACCCGGGCAUUUGCCCGGAGGAAGUCAGGUCUUAUGAUCCGAAUGUUGGGGGAUUUUAUGCGCUACAUUUUCUUAUAUAAUGGGAGACCUGGAAGGUGAGCCUCUAAAGUAAGAGUUCGGAAGGUCGCUGUAAGACGACUGGAAGUUGGAUUUAAUAGUAAUCGGAAAGUAGGGCGUUCCGGUGAAUUGKWWCAAGUGUUAGCACAAAUUGCCCGUCGCCUUUACCUAGNAAUGGUUAUUCGGACGCCUUCGGUGGUUACGAAUGCCUACGAGGGAAAG
RNAcentral lists this ribosomal RNA (825 nucleotides) under Urticina grebelnyi. Its description in RNAcentral is "partial 12S ribosomal RNA". It matches the Rfam family "Bacterial small subunit ribosomal RNA", at positions 327 to 1481 of the family's 1533-position model. Lineage: Eukaryota; Metazoa; Cnidaria; Anthozoa; Actiniaria; Actiniidae. The record is from RNAcentral.